RNAcentral lists this transfer RNA (92 nucleotides) under Sus scrofa (pig). It matches the Rfam family "tRNA". From Rfam's summary of the family: Transfer RNA (tRNA) molecules are approximately 80 nucleotides in length. Their secondary structure includes four short double-helical elements and three loops (D, anti-codon, and T loops). Further hydrogen bonds mediate the characteristic L-shaped molecular structure. tRNAs have two regions of fundamental functional importance: the anti-codon, which is responsible for specific mRNA codon recognition, and the 3' end, to which the tRNAs corresponding amino acid is attached (by aminoacyl-tRNA synthetases). tRNAs cope with the degeneracy of the genetic code in two manners: having more than one tRNA (with a specific anti-codon) for a particular amino acid; and 'wobble' base-pairing, i.e. permitting non-standard base-pairing at the 3rd anti-codon position. The record is from Rfam by way of RNAcentral. Lineage: Eukaryota; Metazoa; Chordata; Mammalia; Artiodactyla; Suidae.
UCCCUGGUGGUCUAGUGGGUUAAGGAUCCAGCACUGUCACUGCUGUGGCUCAGGUCACUGCUAUGGCAAAGGUUCGAUCCUUGGCCUGGGAA